UCUCUUUUGUCUCUAACGUCCACUUCUGAUGUAUUUCAAAUAAAGUAGUGGAUGCGUGUAGUAGGUUAUUUGCAUAUAAUAGAGUAGAUUGUGCAUGCAACAUAUAUGUUGAGCGUUUAGCAUUUAUUUUUUUUCUUUCUUAAUCUUUUUUACGCUUAUAGAAGGUUUGCUCAGAGACAUUAUCUUGACACUUUUUUGCUUGAGAUUUUAACUGAAUAUCCUUGGGUGCAAAUAGCUUACGCGUUUGACAUAACUCUCUUUCGAAGCUUUGACUUGUUGGUCAUUUAGUCUUGCAUCUGGAAGUUUUUAUCCUACUUGUUUCCCUCCGUGUUUUCCUAAGGUUUUCCUAUGUUGAUGGAUGACUUGGUAAUCUUGUUUCUAUCGUUAGUGUUUCUAUCUAUCCAAUUCUUUGUGCUUAGAUAUUUUCAUAUUCUCAUCUCGUUUAAUGUCAUUUGAUUAAAC
Molecule: long non-coding RNA, 462 nt
Filed under: Vigna radiata
Lineage: Eukaryota; Viridiplantae; Streptophyta; Magnoliopsida; Fabales; Fabaceae
Description: long non-coding RNA (VRAD_LNC008425)
Source: RNAcentral